Long non-coding RNA from Triticum aestivum (bread wheat), 6145 nucleotides. RefSeq lists it as uncharacterized. The record is from RefSeq and is a predicted model, not a curated record. Lineage: Eukaryota; Viridiplantae; Streptophyta; Magnoliopsida; Poales; Poaceae. The transcript is spliced from 6 exons.
UUCGGUGCGUGCUCUGCUCGAUCUGUCCGGCCAUGGUGCCCCCGUCCUUGCAUGAGAGCGCCGCCAGAAAGCGAGGGGGACAAGCGGCCGAGGUGGCCAUGCGGGAUGUGCGAGCUCGUCUGCGGCUGCGCUGGUGCACUUCGCUAGAAACCCAAGGCCAGAGGCGUGCCCCGCGCGGUCAACGACGUGCACAUCCUCUGGGAAGAGCCCGUGGUGGAGCGGAGGCCGUGACGGCGAGGCGGCCCCACCUCCCUCCGGCGGCGCUCCUCCUGGACUAGGCCCAACCCCCGCACCAACAGCUCCACCUCCUAUCUCCUUCCCAACGGUCGACGCCCGGCACAGCCCGCCAUACUCUCCGAUUUGACGCCCGGCGAAGCCAGCCUCUCCCCGACCUCUGGACGGCGCUCCACGACGUACACGGCUCCUGGGCCCUCCCCUAUGACAUUGGAACUUCCAGUUGCGAUGUCCAUCUCCUUCUCAGGAUCCAGCUGCCACCUGCACGGCUGCACGUCAACUGUUCGACAAUUGACCCAACAGACAGGAGGUAACUUUCUGUUUUGUUUUUUUGUUCCUUUGGAGUUCCAUCUAGCACUAAUUUCAUGUGAAAGUCUUCAUUGAUAGACUGCUCAAGUUUUGUACAUUCCGAUUGAUUGUAUUAGCCUAGAGAAUAGAGAGAAAGGGGAGGAGAUGUUGUUGUUGGCGCGAUGCUGAACCAUUGAAGCAACAGGACGAUGAGCGUAUCAUGCAAGAGGAGAUUCUCGUCACUGUCCUGUGGCUCAGCGCCCAGUACGGCCACGUCCUUGCAUGCCUCUGCCUGGCUGAUCCGGCGCAAGAGGGGACGCGGUGGAGCCCGCGGUGUACGCCGGUGCACGCAUGGAGAAGGCGGUGAUGCCAGGUAGCCGGAGCGAGAUGUGAAGGCGGGCGCCGCGAAGGGGUCGACAGCGCCAAUAGGAAGGUAGGGGCGGAGGUGUUGGAUUCAUGGGCACCGAUGGCGAUGGUGGACACACGGAGCAGAUAUAAUGAAUUAGUGUAACUGAAGCUGCUGUAGGAGGCGGCGGCUGCCACUUUAGAGCGCGAUGGCAGUACACGGUGCAGUGGCGCACACAUGGAGUUCCUCCGGUUCUUGCGCCAGUUAGACAAGAUCAAGGUGUUUGCGUGCAGGCUGCCCCUCACUGCCGGCGCCGUGACCGUGCUCGCUGAAAACAGAUGUGGAAAGUCCCUGGACACUCUCGUGUGAUGCCUCUGCACUGCCUUUGAGGAGCACGGUGACUGCCCGAAGGACAACCCGUUCAGGGUGACCAUGCGGGAGACCUCGAUGGUGUAGUCCCUGCUGUUGGGGAGGACAGCCGAGGCACACCAGGUCAGGUCCACGAUGCCAAUGUACGCGGUGCAAGUGUGUGGUGUGCAGACAAACUGUGUGUGGUAUGUUUACUGAACUUGUGAUGACAGCUCUUUGGUUAGUACCUUCGUCCCUAGAUUUUCACUCUAAUCAUCAUUAUAUUUUGGACAGAGGAUGUGUUUGCGAAAUUGUUGUUGUUUUAUUUUUUAAGUUAUUCCAUUAAUUUUGCAUCACAUAUAUUAAUUUAUAUGGCUCCAGCAUAUAUGUUUAUCACCAGACUGAAAUUUGGUUCCAUCUAGAAAAGAAAGCAGGGACAAGAUGUACUUGGUGCAAGUGUGUGGUGCGCGGACAGACUGUGUGUGGCAUGUUUACUGAACUUGUGAUGACAGUUCUUCAGGUAGUACCUUCGUCCCUAGAUUUUCACUCUAAACAUCAUUAUAUUUUGGACAAAAGAUGUGUUUACGGCAUUGUUGUUGUUUUAUUUUUUGAAGCUAUGCCAUUAAUAUUGCAUCAUAGAUAUUAAUUUGUAGGGCUCUAGCAUAUAUGUUUAUCACCAGGCUGAAAUUUGUGGUUCAAUCUAGAAAAGAAAACAGGGACAAGUAUUGAACAGAGAGUAGAGAGGAGAACAACUAAGUCCAGGUACAGAAAAAGGAAUGCAGCUGCAACGACUAAUUUGAUCCAAGCUGGCUCCUUCCCAUGGCAAAGCUGUGAUGUGGGAUGGCGCCAUGGCAGUAGUGACCCAGCCCUAAGCCACGAUACAACUAGGGCACUCAAUAUGACCUCAGGUUUAAUCUUCUUCCUCAAUUCCACAGGUUACCACUGGUUAGUAUUUGCUGGUUAACAUAUGGAUUUUUUAAAAAAAAAUGGAUUCAUACCUUAGAUGGUUGGAAUUUGAAUGUGCUUAGCUAGAUUGAUCAUCUAUGUCGUACUAGAUUGGUCAGACCGCACACAGGCAUGUUUAUAGUCCUGAAGCAUGUUGCUUUCUUCAAGUGAUUGCGUUCAGAAUAGUGAAAUAAUAAUGUGUACUGCUGAAUAAAUGAAUAUGAGUAUAGUCCUAUUUGAUAUUUUAUCUCUCCAAGCUAUCGCAAGAGCUGCCACCUCUCUUAAGUUGAUUGAUGUAACCAGGUUAACAUUAUUAGCACACAAGCAGAAAACAUCUCUAAUAUGCACAUUCAUUGUAAAAAAAGCCGUCAAUAUGCCAACUUAUAAUAAAUGUUUGAUCUGCUGGUAUGGUAGUUGAGCUCAUGUAUAGGAGCAGAGGUCAUGGGACUGAAUAGAAGCGGAACUUAUUAAAAUUUACUAGCAAACUGCAUGUCAGUUAUCUGUCAGCAACAUGUAUUGGCCAAUUAGUUAGUCAAGCAUACUAGCAGGUAGCAGGGAAAGUGAAGGCUUAAUGCAGGUGACUAACAAAAUUUGGAAGUACUCACAUACAGUCCAGUUGUCCAAUUUUGGUAGAAGCCAAUGCACACUGGGUUUAUAAAUUUAAAAUUUCCUCAGUGAAUUAAUAAUGUGUACAAAUGAAUGUUGUCCAGUUUGACAUUUCAUAUAGGUGGUGAAGGUAUUUUGGAGGUAAUUGACAUAGUCCCAGUGAAGGGUGGGGGGCAUCACGGUGAUGAUGGACAGUGGAAUUGAGGCAGAUCCUUGGCAAGAUCGUAGGCAAUGGUGCGAUGUCAUGUUGUUGUGAAUGAUGUAGGGCAAGGAUGCAACAUAACAAGAUUUUGACCAGUGUUCAUGUCUCAUAACAAGAUUUUUUCUUCUUAUGUAUAAGUAUAUCAUGCAUGCACAUGGGAUAACUCCUAAUGCAACAUAACAGUUAAUUAUGCAAUUUCAUAGAGCUUUCCCAUGACAAAAUUGCCGCAAACAUGCAAACCGUAAACGUAUAUGCUCUGGAUGAGAAAAUUAACUAACCUUUGAAUAUGUUUUCUUUUUUCAAAAAUAAAAUUAGGUGCAAACAUUCAAACAUGUAUACUCUACAUGAAAAAAAUACACACUUAAGUGUUUUUUUCUUUUUGCCACCAACAUAGUCAUAUUUUGUGUACAGUGACCAAGGAAGAUCAUGUAAAAAACCAGACUGUUUUAGAAGAUUAAAUAAACUCACAAUGACAAAAAAAUGAAUAAGGGAUGACCUAAAAUAAUUCUUAGCCCCAGAUUUCAUCAAUUUAAAAUUGUAGCAGUUGGAUAGGGUUUCAAGCUACAUAAAUUUUGGUCAAAUGUCAUUAAAUGAAAUUUUAAUUAUAAAUCUGACUCUUAUUUUGUACAACUAUGGCUAGAAAACCGUUCAAAAAAAUAUAUGUUAGAAAAUCUACAUUACCGGUAGAAUUUUGGAAUUAAUUUUCAUGGAGGAUUAACACAUAAUAUACAUAUUGUAUAAGCUAUCAAUCAGUGUACAAAACACCGUGUGGCUUUUGUGACUAAUAUUGCUGCUAUUAACUAUUAGUAAUUUAGAUUGUAGGCUCCCGAGCAUGCAAGUUAAGUUGUGAAAUUAAGCUUUAGUAAUAUUGUAUCUAUUUAUAAUAUUAGUACUUUCUAUGCUGUCAAAUUAGUGAAUGUGUACCCGUUGCAACGCACGGGCAUGUUUGCUAGUAUUAGCUAAACCUGCUUCUGUUGUGUAGUUCGUCUAACCAAAUUUGUAGGGACAUAAAAACAUAGAUCGAUAUGCUAUAUUGUACUGACUACAAAAACAACAUCAGCAUGUCAGACUGUCAUGAUGAUUCAAUCCUCUCCCCAUUUCUUUUGAUUCAAUCCCCAGAAUCCUAUUGUUGUUUGUGCAUAUUAUCUAUGCCCGUCGCCCAUAUUUUUUAUUUUCAUGUUCAUUGAUAUGCAAUAUUGUACUGAUUACAAAAACAGCAUGAGCAUGUCAGUGGAGUAGUAUCAUCAUGAAACCUCGCCUUUUUCCUAUUCUGUUCGAUUACUUGCCCUGUUUCUGUGACAAAGGCCUGUGAUAGAUAUGAUUAGGCACAUAUUGAGCGUCCAGUUUCAUAAAUAUUGAGCAUACGGUUUCAAUUUCAACUUAAACAUACAAUCUGCUCUUUCUUCUUAAGAUAUAGAGGAGGGUAAUCAUAUAUUGUCUGUUUGGUAUUUGCCUGUAGUUAUAAUUUCAUAAAGGCUUGUGUUUGACCUUCUAUUAUAUCAGGACAUCUUGGUUCUAGAUUUCAUUCCAGAGAUGUGCUAAUAUUUUAUUUAGAUGGGUUGUUUUAGGAAAUGAGAAAAAUGCAUUCUCUGUUCUCCUUGUUUUUGUCAUCUUCAUUAUUUAUUGUUUGUUCAUACGUGUAAAAAAUUGUACCUCAUACCUCAAGAAUCACCGUGAGUUGCUUCCCUUUUUCUGUUUCCAAGUCAUCUUUGCAACUUUAGGUGGUGCAUGGGCACACGUUUUUUGGACAAGUGCAUGAGAGAAAAGUUACAUGUAGAUAAGUUACAAAUCUGCCAUGAAUUCUGUUGUCCUUGCAGACCUACAUCAGGAAACUUUUGGUUACGUAUAUGCUUAUUGUUUGUUCAGUUUCCAUACUUCAGUUGCAUUGGUUAGGUCAGUCCAUGUGUGUAGGUCUGGAUAGCAUGAGCUUCUGUUGAGGGUACUUUGAUCAGGUGGCACUGCAAAUCUCAAAUCACCACAAGUUUGUUCUUCACCUGUAGUCACAGUCACCUGGCCAGAACUUGAAAAUUAAACCAGAGAGUAGUACUUUCUUAGGGAGCUAGCAAAAUUAUGUAUAAAAGGAGAUUUCUGAGAUUUUAGUCCUAAACAAUUUAAAGGUAUUUUGUCUUUUAGGUUUCUCUAUAUCUGCUGCAAGGCUUGGAUUGCCAUAUAAGCCGAAUUCGGCAAGUAAGAAAGAAGAGUUAUUCAUUGAUAGUGUCACGGUUUGAUCCAGCUGGCUGGCAAGCUCCUCUGCCCUCCCUGAGCCCGGUGAUGAUUUCCACAGUCAGCCCUCCCCACACGAUGGUGGGCGAAGAAGGUGCACGUCUCCGACGAGUUUGCCGUGCCUCCCUCUAGUUCGGUGCUGGUCGAUGGUGAGGUUGAUGAUGGAGUCGUGAUCUAAAGUUGGAGUGUGCCCUUUUGUCGGUGUCGUCAUUCUCUCCUUGACAACCGUCGUUGUCAGGAGCCCAAGUAGCUUGGUUGGGUAUCGAAGGCGCUGGUGGACCUAAUAGGUCCUUCUCUUUCUCUCAUAAAAAAGCCCGAGUGCAGAUCAGUCAAAACGACUACCUCAAACUGAAAGCACGACGGAGAUUUUCCAAAAACCCAAUGAAAUUGGAUGCUUCAAAGGAUUUGAGUGGAGUUUAUUAUAGGUUCGAUUAUUUCUUGGCUUAGAGCAGCGGCGCAAGUAGAGAGAGAUGCCAAGGUUACUCAUGUGUCAUGAUAGAUAGCUGUGCAGGAGCAGCUCGGGGACGAACCCAAGGUCUAAAAUGCUGAAUCUCCCAAUAAAGUGACACUGUAUAUCUUAGAUGCAGGAUGACAAAGUUGUGAACUAAGCAGCAAAAGGACGGCAAGAGCCCGAUGGCAUCGUAGCUAUCGCCCCCUUCAGCGUCCAGGAACCAUGCAAAACGCCACUGUCAAUGUGAGCGGCGAGGAGCGAAUGGGCGGCUACAUCAUGCACCAUGGCAUGACGAUCAGAUCGGCGAUGUGAUCGUUGCACUGGUUAAUGCCAACGAUCAGUUCAUUUUUGUCGAUUGUCAUGUGGGAUUCUAUGUCCAUCUUUUUCUGGAAUUCUGUUUUUUUGAUUCAAAAUAUUUAAGAACUUGUGAAAUUUGGUAUCUUUUGUAAGCAAAUGUCAGUGUCAAAACGUCUUUUGUAUAUUUCAAUUAAUUAUCAGCAGG